CUCAGUAACGGCGAGUGAAGCGGCAACAGCUCAAAUUUGAAAUCUGGAGCCUUUGGCUUCCGAGUUGUAAUUUGAAGAGGAUGUUUCGGUGCGACCUGGGCCUAAGUUCCUUGGAACAGGAUGUCAUGGAGGGUGAGAAUCCCGUACAUGGCUGCAGGUUUGCUUCUAUGUGAAACUCCUUCGAAGAGUCGAGUUGUUUGGGAAUGCAGCUCAAAAUGGGUGGUAAAUUUCAUCUAAAGCUAAAUAUUGGGGGGAGACCGAUAGCGCACAAGUAGAGUGAUCGAAAGAUGAAAAGCACUUUGAAAAGAGAGUUAAACAGUACGUGAAAUUGUUGAAAGGGAAGCGCUUGCAAUCAGACUCGCCUUCAGUUGAUCAGCCUUCCUUCUGGUUGGUGCACUCUGCUGUUGGCGGGCCAGCAUCAGUUGGGGCGGUGGGACAAAGGUAGCAGGAAUGUGGCUCAUCUCGGUGAGUGUUAUAGCCUGCUGCGUCAUGCCACCAGUCCCGAUUGAGGUCCGCGGUUCUGCCUAGGAUGCUGGCUUAAUGGUUGUAAGCGACCCGUCUUGAAACACGGACCAAGGAGUCUAACAUCUAUGCGAGUCUUUGGGUGUAAAACCCAUGGGCGAAAUGAAAGUGAACGGAGGUGGGAGUCCUCGGAUGCACCAUCGACCGAUCCUGAUGUUCUCGGAUGGAUUUGAGUAGGAGCAUAGCUGUUGGGACCCGAAAGAUGGUGAACUAUGCCUGAAUAGGGUGAAGCCAGAGGAAACUCUGGUGGAGGCUCGCAGCGGUUCUGACGUGCAAAUCGAUCGUCAAAUUUGGGUAUAGGGGCGAAAGACUAAUCGAACCAUCUU
Molecule: ribosomal RNA, 848 nt
Filed under: Arthrobotrys sp. YMF1.01884
Lineage: Eukaryota; Fungi; Ascomycota; Orbiliomycetes; Orbiliales; Orbiliaceae
Description: eukaryotic LSU rRNA
Rfam family: Eukaryotic large subunit ribosomal RNA
Source: RNAcentral